Molecule: non-coding RNA, 72 nt
Organism: Balaenoptera acutorostrata (minke whale)
Lineage: Eukaryota; Metazoa; Chordata; Mammalia; Artiodactyla; Balaenopteridae
Source: the annotation of a RefSeq genome assembly
UCCCUGAUGGCCUAGUGGUUAGGAUUCCGGGCUUUGACUGCUGUGGCCCAGGUUCAAUCCCUGGUCAGGGAA